This 878-nucleotide long non-coding RNA is filed under the name Olea europaea subsp. europaea. Lineage: Eukaryota; Viridiplantae; Streptophyta; Magnoliopsida; Lamiales; Oleaceae. The record is from RNAcentral.
AUAUGUUGAUGACAUAAUCCUUACCGGAGAUAAUACAGUUGAGGUAGAGAGACUAAAAGGGAGUCUAGCCACAGAAUUUGAAGUAAAAGAUCUAGGGCAGAUGAGAUACUUCUUGGGGAUGGAAGUAGCUAGAUCAAGGAAGGGUAUUAGUGUCUCACAACAAAGAUAUGUCCUGGACCUCUUGACUGAGAUAGGUAUGCUUGGGCGUAAAUCAAGUGACACUCCUAUGGACACUAAAAAAAGGACCAACAAUAUGGGAGAAUUGGUUGAUAAGGAUAGAUACUAGCGACUAGUGGGAAAGCUAAUCUACCUAUCGCACACUAGACCCGACAUUGCAUUCGCAGUUAUUGUGGUAAGCCAGCACAUGCAUUCUCCAAGGGAAACCCACCUAGAAGCAGUACACUAGAUUCUGAAAUAUCUCAAAGGUUCUACGGGAAAAGGAUUGUUGUUCAAGAAAAAUGAAAAAAGGGAGUAGAAAUAUUCACUGAUGCUGAUUGGGCAGGAGCAAUAGAAGAUAGAAGAUCAACCACUGGUUACUAUACUUUUGUAUGGGGCAACUUAGUAACUUGGAGAAGUAAGAAACAUAAUGUAGUCACCAGAACUAGUGCGGAAGCAGAGUUUAGAGCAGCUGCUCAAGGAAUGUGUGAAGGCCUUUGGUUAAAAAAACUCUUGGAAGAACUACAAGUCACAAUGAAAUUCUCAAUUAAGCUCUAUUGUGAUAACAAGUCAGCUAUCAAUAUCUCACUCAACAUAGUCCAACAUGACAGAACCAAACAUGUUGAAGUGGACACACUUCAUCAAAGAAAAUAUUGAAAAUGGCAUCAUUUGCAUGAUCUAUGUCCCUACCAAAGAACAAACGGCGGAUGUGUUCACUAAAG